UAGGGAAUCUUCCACAAUGGGCGAAAGCCUGAUGGAGCAACGCCGCGUGUGUGAUGAAGGGUUUCGGCUCGUAAAACACUGUUGUAAGAGAAGAAUGACNUUGAGGGUAACUGUUCAAUGUGUGACGGUAUCUUACCAGAAAGGAACGGCUAAAUACGUGCCAC
RNAcentral lists this ribosomal RNA (164 nucleotides) under uncultured bacterium. RNAcentral describes it as "partial 16S rRNA". It matches the Rfam family "Bacterial small subunit ribosomal RNA", at positions 355 to 511 of the family's 1533-position model. The record is from RNAcentral.